GUGUCAGCCGCCGCGGUAAUACGUAGGUGGCGAGCGUUGUCCGGAUUUACUGGGCGUAAAGAGCGCGCAGGCGGCUCGGUAAGUCUGCUGUGAAAUCUCCCGGCUUAACUGGGAGGGGUCAGCGGAUACUGUCGGGCUUGAGGCAGGUAGAGGAAGGUGGAAUUCCCGGUGUAGUGGUGAAAUGCGUAGAUAUCGGGAGGAACACCAGUGGCGAAGGCGGCCUUCUGGGCCUGUCCUGACGCUGAGGCGCGAAAGCGUGGGGAGCGAACCGGAUUAGAAACCCGCGUAGUCC
RNAcentral lists this ribosomal RNA (292 nucleotides) under uncultured bacterium. RNAcentral describes it as "partial 16S ribosomal RNA". It matches the Rfam family "Bacterial small subunit ribosomal RNA", at positions 505 to 796 of the family's 1533-position model. The record is from RNAcentral.